GUUGAAACCGUUUUUCUGACUGAUAUUUAAGUCUGUGAGGAAAGGCUUUGCUGUGUUUCCUCUGCAGAGAAAGUGCCCAAGUAACAGAGAUGACUCAAAAUCAUGUACAUUAGCAGUCAGAUCAGACAAACCAAAGCCUCACGGUGUGCCCACGUUGGAACUCCUUCUCCUAGCAUUUUUCUGGGUCAGCCUGGAUUGAGACACACUGACCUUUAGAACUUGAAUAAAAUGCCGUUUCACUCAUUGCCAUCUUCGAUAGUCGGUAGAAGGUGAUUGCAGUUCCAAGUGGUGUCACCAUUUUAGAGAGUGCAUUGUGAAGGGCUAGAAGAGAAGAAUCGCAAUGUUCCCAAUACAAAGGAAAGAUAAAUGUUGGAGGUGAUGGAUAGUCCUAUUACCCUGCUUUGAUCAUUACACAUUAUAUACAGGAACUGAAGACACAUUUUGUAGAAGUUGAUGGAUUAAGAAAAAGAAGUUGCAUUUUAUUACCUAUCCUAAAGAUAGAAGGUGAUCUGAACAUUCUAAUAUCACUUGCCAAGACUGUUGGAGCAUGGGGAAGAGAGGUUCCUCCCAUGACUGACAGCUUAGAAGCCAGAGGUUAAGGGAGCCUAUCGAUCAAUGCACUCCACGCAAACAUGUCCCAGGAGCAGGAUAGAACAAGGUGUAAAAGGGUGGGACUCUAUCUAGAGGGGCAAAAUGAAGAUAUCGAACACAUUGACAUGAAUAAAAUAUGUACAAUGUCAUUAUAAUGUGUCAAAUUUGCACAGAAAAAUAAUCAUAAAAUAUUCAAUGUCAUAGUCAACUACUAGUGGUGUUUUAUGCCAGCUGCACUUUAACUAGCUAGUUAACUGGAGGAUUUGAGUGAAAAUACUUCUUUUUUUUUUUUUUUAAAGAGAGAGAGAGGUUCAGGAAACAUCUGAAGGGGAAUGGGCAAGUGAUGCCUGAACGGUACUGGCAGAAGAUAAAUGGUAUGUUAUUUUAAGCCAGUAGAAAGCUUAAUCCCAUGAGGGAAACUCUGGGAAAUGUACACCAUAUGAGUCAGAAUUACUCCAAGAAUGAGGGAGCUAGGACACUUAGCUUCCUGAACCAUUGGGUGUGAUCUGCCCCUGUAGGCAAAGGGCCUUCCUAGGAUCUAGAAAAAAAGACUCCAGGCAGCUAGAUGUAGAUACUGGCCAUUGGAUGUUUGUCAAAGCAAAAGAAAGAUCUGAAGGGUAAGGGAAGGACAUUGUUGGUGUCUAUACUUUUGGCCAAUAUGCCACAAGUACAAAUGCACCAGUUACAGUGUUAAGCAUGACUGCUUGAAUUUACAACCAGCUUUUGAGGAUAUGGAGAUGGAAGGUGUUCUUAAAAGUCCCAUCUUAUUGUCGUGACAGCAAAGAUCAUUAUAUAAGUCUGUUAUUAUUUCAGGCAAUUAAAAAACUGCUUGUAAUUAUUUAAGUCACACUUCUUUUUAAUAUUUUUGACAGUCUGUAAUUUUAGAAUAACACUCUCAAAUACAUCAUUUGCCAUAUUUUAACACAUUGGAGUUACAUAAUCUGUGUAUCAGUGUACCAGAGUGAAUUUGGUUUUGUGAAGACCUCAGAAGAAAAGCUUACCUGCAAUCUCCAUGUCUAAACUUGAAUAGAUUAAAAUGUUCCCUUGAUUAGGAAAUGUGUAGCUCUGCUGUGUUUAUAUUUGUUUGUUUUAAAUCCAGGCUGAUGAAUGCCUACUUGUGUAAAACUGUACAACUAAGUGCACUUCUGUAUUAGGACUUCUCUGUGCUCAGCUCAAUCCCAGAUAGGGCUGAGGAGCAUGCCUGAGACUCAUGCCAUCACCCUCAUGAGACAGCACAUAAAUGUAUAAUGUGUUUCAUCAUGUCUCAUAAGACUAAAGUUUGUUUAACACUGAUUUUUUUACAUGCUUAAAUGUUCGUGUUUGGACUUUUAAGUUAUGAUAGUGAGUUUUGAUUAUUUUUCCUAUUGUUGAAUUUUAAGAAUGUGUUUUUCCAGAUGAGUUGAAAAUCUUACCAUUGUUUAAUUACUCAACUAAUAUUUGUUGAGUGCAUACUAUGUGGAGGAAACUGGUCUAGUGCUUGGGAUUCCUCACUGAACAAAAGUGAUAAACAUCCCUGACCUGCUGCUUACAUUUAAGCAAGGAGGGUGAGUCAAUAAAUCAUGAAUACAUAUAAUACAUUAGAAGGAAAUAUAUGCUGUAGAAAAGUGAUGACAUAAAGCAGAAAAUAUUGGAAAUGCUAGCAUCAGGGAGCAGGGUGUAGUAUUAAAAGGUCAGAGUGGGUCUCAUUGCAAAGGGUAGAUUUGAGCAAAGGCAUCAGAGGUAUAAAGAAAUUAGGCAUAUGAACAUAGGAGGAAAAAACAUUUUAGGCAGAUGUAAUAAAUAAUUUCAAAACUGAAAGGCUUGUAUCUUUAAAAAGUGUUUAUCUUCUGGUCAAAAGGCUCAUUGUAGUUGUUUUGUUGAGGGGAACUGUGGGAAAGUGUGGCUGGAACCAGGGAAAUCAGUUAAGAAGUAGUUCUAUUCAUCCAAUAAAGAGAUACUGAGAACUUGAGUUAAUUUAAAAUGAAUACUGUUUGCUAGGGAAAAAAAGAAAUUCUAAAGAAAAAUUUGCCCGUGGGCCAAUUAAGUUGAUCAGGCUUAAUAUGAAAUAAGCAUAAUGGCAUCAGUUCAUUUUCAGCUCACGGUGACCAGUUUCAUUGGGGUUUCUAAAAUGGCAAGAGAGAUUCAAAUGCCUCAGCUGGCUUCCAAGUCAAGAAAGUGUAAUGGUGGCUGUUUCUCAUUAUGGUUCUCUUUUUAAGGUGACAAAAGUCACCUAAUUAGUUUGACUUAAAUAAAGGAUUUUACAAACUGAC
Long non-coding RNA from Pan troglodytes (chimpanzee), 2840 nucleotides. RefSeq lists it as uncharacterized. The transcript is spliced from 4 exons. The record is from RefSeq and is a predicted model, not a curated record. Lineage: Eukaryota; Metazoa; Chordata; Mammalia; Primates; Hominidae.